AUGCUGACAAUACAGAGCAUCCUGCCUGCCCCUGCCAUACCAAAACCAGACGUGUUGGCUCAUUUGCUAAAAACUACACGUAAUGUCUUUAGGCUGUCGAAAUCAGUGGUAGAUGCACUUAUGCUAUUUUGUAGAAAUAUAUGGAGUUUGCAUGUUACAAUUCAGAAUCUAGCUUUCUCUGCGUAUUUGAACACAAACAACUCGCAGCCAAGUUUAGCUCUUCGGUCCAUGAAAUAUGCUGUCAUUGCUCCAUUUUUAGCUGGCCGAACUGGCAAAAAUCCGUUUUUAGACACAAAAGCACCUUGUCUUAAUGGAAUCCGUACCAACAAGGUUGCCGGAGUUUCCAUCUUGCAAUUUCGAUUGCAUAACUGCGGGGAUUAG
RNAcentral lists this ribosomal RNA (381 nucleotides) under Triticum aestivum (bread wheat). RNAcentral describes it as "partial small subunit ribosomal RNA". Lineage: Eukaryota; Viridiplantae; Streptophyta; Magnoliopsida; Poales; Poaceae. The record is from RNAcentral.